Molecule: ribosomal RNA, 442 nt
Filed under: uncultured bacterium
Lineage: Bacteria
Description: partial 16S ribosomal RNA
Rfam family: Bacterial small subunit ribosomal RNA
Source: RNAcentral
CCUACGGGUGGCAGCAGUGGGGAAUAUUGGGCAAUGGCGGAAACUCUGACCCAGCAACGCCGCGUGAAUGAUGAAGGUCUUCGGAUUGUAAAGUUCUUUUCUAAGGGAAGAAGAAAGUGACGGUACCUUAGGAAUAAGCCUCGGCUAACUACGUGCCAGCAGCCGCGGUAAUACGGAGGAUGCGAGCGUUAUCCGGAUUUAUUGGGUUUAAAGGGUGCGUAGGCGGGCAUUUAAGCCGGCGGUCAAAUGUCGGGGCUCAACCCCGGCCUGCCGUCGGAACUGGGUGCCUUGAGUGGGCGAGAAGUAUGCGGAAUGCGUGGUGUAGCGGUGAAAUGCAUAGAUAUCACGCAGAACCCCGAUUGCGAAGGCAGCAUACCGGCGCCCUACUGACGCUGAGGCACGAAAGCGUGGGGAUCGAACAGGAUUAGAUACCCCUGUAGUC